RNAcentral lists this ribosomal RNA (466 nucleotides) under uncultured bacterium. RNAcentral's name for it is "partial 16S ribosomal RNA". It matches the Rfam family "Bacterial small subunit ribosomal RNA", at positions 28 to 507 of the family's 1533-position model. The record is from RNAcentral.
GACGAACGCUGGCGGCGUGCUUAACACAUGCAAGUCGAACGGAAAGGCCCUGCUUGCGGGGUACUCGAGUGGCGCACGGGUGAGUAACACGUGGGUGUACCGUCCUGCUCUUUGGGAUAUGCCUGGGAAAAUGGGUCUCAUAUCGGGUAGGAACGAUCCUUCGGGUGGUGGUUGGAAAGUUUUUUUGGUGUGGGAUGAGCACUCGCCCUAUCUGUUUGUUGGUGGGGGGAUGUCCGACCUAGGGGGGCUCGGGUGGGCGGCCUGUGAGGGGGUGUCGCCACAUAUUGGCUGAGAGACGCCCCAGACUCCUCCGGGGGGCAGAAGAGGGGAGUAUUGCACAAUGGGGGCAGGCCUGAGGCGGCGACGCCGCGUGGGGGAGGAAGGCCUUCGGGGGGUGAACUCCUCUCUCGAGGGACGAGGCGUUGUUGUGACGGUACCUAGAAAAGAAGCACCGGCUAACUACGUG